This 736-nucleotide ribosomal RNA is filed under the name Bacillus sp. 'Bacillus M8'. RNAcentral's name for it is "bacterial SSU rRNA". It matches the Rfam family "Bacterial small subunit ribosomal RNA", at positions 42 to 760 of the family's 1533-position model. The record is from RNAcentral. Lineage: Bacteria; Bacillati; Bacillota; Bacilli; Caryophanales; Bacillaceae.
GCGUGACUAAUAAUGCACGUCGAGCGGACCGACGGGAGCUUGCUCCCUUAGGUCAGCGGCGGACGGGUGAGUAACACGUGGGUAACCUGCCUGUAAGACUGGGAUAACUCCGGGAAACCGGGGCUAAUACCGGAUGCUUGAUUGAACCGCAUGGUUCAAUCAUAAAAGGUGGCUUUUAGCUACCACUUACAGAUGGACCCGCGGCGCAUUAGCUAGUUGGUGAGGUAACGGCUCACCAAGGCGACGAUGCGUAGCCGACCUGAGAGGGUGAUCGGCCACACUGGGACUGAGACACGGCCCAGACUCCUACGGGAGGCAGCAGUAGGGAAUCUUCCGCAAUGGACGAAAGUCUGACGGAGCAACGCCGCGUGAGUGAUGAAGGUUUUCGGAUCGUAAAACUCUGUUGUUAGGGAAGAACAAGUACCGUUCGAAUAGGGCGGCACCUUGACGGUACCUAACCAGAAAGCCACGGCUAACUACGUGCCAGCAGCCGCGGUAAUACGUAGGUGGCAAGCGUUGUCCGGAAUUAUUGGGCGUAAAGCGCGCGCAGGCGGUUUCUUAAGUCUGAUGUGAAAGCCCCCGGCUCAACCGGGGAGGGUCAUUGGAAACUGGGGAACUUGAGUGCAGAAGAGGAGAGUGGAAUUCCACGUGUAGCGGUGAAAUGCGUAGAGAUGUGGAGGAACACCAGUGGCGAAAGCGACUCUCUGGUCUGUAACUGACGCUGAGGCGCGAAAGC